CCGGCCCCCAAGGCAAUAAAAAAAAUAAAAAGGAAAAAAAAAAAAGAAAGAAAAAUUUCCAUGCUCGCGUCAAGCCGUGGGAUUUUGGGUUUUGCACCAGGGAGGGAGGCGGCAGGGAAAGCCCCGGGAUGGAACCAGCGGGGGACACGGCAGGCAGAGCCAGGCCGCAAGCAGUGCCGGAGCGAGCCCCCCUCCUCCUCCUCCUCCUCCUCCUCCUCUUCCUCCUCCUCCUCCUCGCCGCUGCCUUGCGAAAGUGCUGAGCUCAGCACGGCUCCCGCGGCGCCCGAAAGCGUGCUUUCUCCUCCCAAAGCAGCUGCCCCAGCUCGGGAAGGCAAAGGAGCUGGAAAACGGGCCACGUCCCGUCCCCCCAAAACCAGACCCGAGCGCGACUGUGGAAAUUAUCCCAUUAUUGUGUUUUGGGGAUGGAAAACCAAAGUUUGGGGUCAAACGGGUCGCGGCCCCGAGGCCACUCGCUCCCCUCUGCGCCAGGCCCAAGAGCGGGGUGCGUUCGCGCCCGACACGGCUCUGGAUCACUGGGGUUUAACCCGGGCGCGUUUUCGGCGCUCCCUGCCAUCCUCUACCUCUUUUUUUUGCCUCUUUGACAUUUUUUCCACCCCCCCCCAAGGUUUUGACCCUAACGCCACCUCUUUGCUCCUGCGAGCGCACCUAUUUCAGCCCUUGCAACCGGCCCAGCCCCCAGACGACGUGUGUGCAAAUGACUUGGGGGGAGGGGGGGAAGGGGGGAAAAAAAGCGAAAAAAAAGCAAAAAAAACCAAAAAGACCCCCAAAAAGCAAAAAAAAGCAAAAAAAAAGCAAAAAGCAGAAAAGCAAAAAUAGCAAAAAAAAGAAAAAAGAAAAAAUCAAAAAGGUAAAAAAAAGCAAAAAAGCAAAAAAAGCAAAAAAAAAGAAAGCAAAAAAAGGCAAAAAAAAAGGGGGGGGGCAACAACCCGCGAGCCGGGUUUUGUUAAAAGCAGCGUGCCAAGCUCUGCCCCGGUGCUCCCG
This 1002-nucleotide long non-coding RNA is filed under the name Apteryx owenii (little spotted kiwi). RNAcentral's name for it is "lncRNA (ENSAOWG00000002610.1)". The record is from RNAcentral. Lineage: Eukaryota; Metazoa; Chordata; Aves; Apterygiformes; Apterygidae.